This 607-nucleotide unclassified non-coding RNA is filed under the name Hevea brasiliensis (rubber tree). The record is from RNAcentral. Lineage: Eukaryota; Viridiplantae; Streptophyta; Magnoliopsida; Malpighiales; Euphorbiaceae.
GGUCUAACCCACUAGAAACCAGGUGGGCAUGAAUAUCCUUUGUCAUAUUUGUAAAUAAUAGUAAGUUUAACUUAAAUUGUUUAGUCAUAUGUGUUUCCUUCCUUUGGCAUGCAUUUCUUAGAUAUAUUACAUGAAAAUUGUGAAUAAUGUAUAUGCAAUAUUUGUGUGGUUGCAGUACAUGCGUAUCUGAAACAUACCUACAAAAAAAGAUUUUAAAGAUUGAAACUUAUUUUUCAUUUUUAAGAAUGGCUUUUGGGAUUGGAAAACAUUUUUAUUGGCUAUUGGCCUCUAACAAACAGGUAGAAAAGGAAAACAACAUCGAUUACCCUAUUAAAAACCAUUGAACUGUUUUAGAUUAUCAAUCACAAGACAAGGUCCACAAUUCUCCUUUGUUAAAUUCAUAUUCAAUAACCUCUAGAAUUGCUUCUUGUACGAAAUAGCAUUCUGCCCUUCAUCAUGGAGCUCCUUCCCUUUGCUGUGGCCUUUAGAGAACAUUAAAUUUUCAUUUAACAAAUGAAGUUUUUCUUCCCCCCAACAACCCAAAUGUAAAAACAUUAAUGGUUUAAGAAUUGGUUUUCUGUUUCAGGUUACCUGAUGCACCGGAUAU